GAGUAAAAGUCGUAACAAGGUUUCCGUAGGUGAACUGCGGAAGGAUCAUUAACGAAUCCGUUCAACCUUAUAACACCGUGCACUUGGUCGCGCAUCGUGCGCAUGUCUCCUUUCGGGGUUGCUGCCUGGCAGCAUUAAAUCGCAGUCGUCGGGUGCUGAGUCUUCUUCUCAGUGUUCCGGCGAGUGCGUGCCCCGUCUGGAGACUGCGUGCGUGCGUGGUUUUCUCACCGCACACCUUGCCGUGUGCACUCCGUUUAUCUCUUAAACCAAGCAAAUUUGCAGACCGAACUGUUGGGCUUUCAACGUGAAAGCUUGUUUUAUGAUUAAAUCAUUGACAACUUUCAACGGUGGAUCUCUUGGCUCGUGGAUCGAUGAAGAACGCAGCAAAACGCGAUAUGUAGUGUGAAUUGCAGAAUUCAGUGAAUCAUCGAAUCUUUGAACGCAAAUGGCGCCCCUGGGUAUUCCCAGGAGCAUGUCUGUCUCAGUGUCGUUUUCACCUCGAACGCGCUUCGGCGCGGUGGUCUUGAGGCGUCUGAGAGACUGGCCGUCGUUCGAGCACUUGUGCUCGUUCGAUGGACCCGUUCCUCUCAGUCCCUUGAAAUGCAGUGGCCGAACGUUGUGCUAAAGCAUGCCUCGGGUCGGUUCGCCCCGGUCUGCUCGCACGGCUGAUCAGUCUUUUCUGUCGUCGUGUCGCAGCGGCUUGGGUGCACUUGAACUUUUGCCUGGCUCAACUGUUCGAAUCAAGCCAACUCUGGAAAACGAACUUGCUCUAUUUCGGCUGUUCACGCAGCUACUUUGGAGCAACACCAUCGACCUGAGAUCAGUCAAGACUACCCGCUGAAUUUAAGC
This 849-nucleotide ribosomal RNA is filed under the name Brattegardia nanseni. Its description in RNAcentral is "eukaryotic LSU rRNA". The stretch from base 337 to 490 matches the Rfam family "5.8S ribosomal RNA". The record is from RNAcentral. Lineage: Eukaryota; Metazoa; Porifera; Calcarea; Clathrinida; Clathrinidae.